This 259-nucleotide unclassified non-coding RNA is filed under the name uncultured fungus. RNAcentral describes it as "partial contains 5.8S rRNA and ITS2". The record is from RNAcentral. Lineage: Eukaryota; Fungi.
AACGCACAUUGCACUGUUUGGAACCCCGGACAGUAUGCCUGUUUGAGUAUCAGUAACUUCUCAACAAUAUUCUUUGUUGGUUAUGGCGGGAUAUCGAUUUAAUUGAUACUUGCUAAAAUACAGGAAGUCGAAUAGCAUUUGCAUUCCAGCUGACAGAGCAAGUCUGAUUACAGACGUAACUGUCAAGCUGCAUGUGUUAGUGACUCUGAAAUCUUACACCAUUGAUCUCAAAUCAGGCAAGAGUACCCGCUGAACUUAA